CUUGGGACCAAUGCAGAUGUAAUCAUGACCUUGCCUCUGUGCACUUCAGGGCUACAGCUCUGAGCAGUUUGGGGUUGUCAGGAAACAUCUUACUAUACAGACCAGGCUGGCCUCCAACUUUUGAUCCUCCCAACUCAACUGCCUGAAUGGCAGGAUCAUAGUCCUAUACUACCACACUUGAAUGGAUAUAUAAACAUAGGAUGUAAUUCUAUAAUAUA
Mastomys coucha (southern multimammate mouse) is the source of this 218-nucleotide long non-coding RNA. RefSeq lists it as uncharacterized. The transcript is spliced from 2 exons. The record is from RefSeq and is a predicted model, not a curated record. NCBI's taxonomy places the organism in Eukaryota, Metazoa, Chordata, Mammalia, Rodentia, Muridae.